AUGGGAACUCUUCAGUGCUAAAGGUAGAAAAAAUUGUUUAUAUCAUCUGGCCUUAAUUUUGUUUAGUUUCAACGGCCUUUUUCAAAAUUGCAUACGGGAUAUAUUGUUGUUGUUUAUAAUUGUUUGCUUUGAAAAAGAUUUAAAAAUCAGAUACAACCCAUGGUCUCGCGCGGAAGUAAGCGGAAUAAAAGAGACGUAUCCGGUAAACAUCAUUUAUCCGGAAUGCUAGUGCGCAAUGGCGGCAAUAAACAAACGAAGCGGAGACGUUGAAGGAAAAACUUCUUUCUUUAUUUCUUUCUUACCGUUAUAAUAGAUCAGUGAAAAUGAUGGACAACGAUCAAUCGCAUAAAUCCCAUGAAGAAUACAAAACUGAAAGUAGGGCAAACAGAUCUCUGGACAUACCAGAGAUGAGGUGAGAUAAGACAGAUGGAAACCAAUGUAAUUAAGACGAAAAGGGAGUGCAACUCAAAAUACCAAGGAAAAACAAGAAAGGCCAUUGUGAAUCAGCAGCUGAUGUCCUAUACAACCAUCCUUCCAUGACACAUGCAAUGAGAAGUUUAAUUUCAGGAAAUAAAGCCUGCCUGAAACUCCAAAAUGACAUUUCCAGAAAGCUAAAAAUCAACAAAAAAUGGCUAGUAAUGCAACUAACACCUUACAACCCAGAUUUCAUUCCACUGAAAAGAAAAGGGACAGAAAAUUUUGCAUGUCCAUGUCUUGGAAGGUGACUAGGUGGGAAGUCAAUAGAUGCUUACCAGAUCAGAUGCUUGCAGAGGAUACUGGGGAUAAAGGCAGAAAAUGAUGAAAAACAGGGAAGUGGCAGACAGGGCUGACAUGAAUGCAAUAAACAAUGAGCUGAGGAGACAGUGAUGGAACUAUAUAGGACACGUGCUAUGGAGGGUAGGUGACAAUGACAGUGAGAUGGCGUUAGGUUGGACACCAGAAGGGAAGAGGGCAUUUAAGAGACCGAAAACAACCUGGAGAGGAACAGUAGAAGCAGAAAGAAAGAUUGCAGAAUGGAGAAACUGGAAUUAGAUCAAGAUGGUAGCAAUAGAACAGAGUGGAUUGGAAAGAGUCUCAGCCCUAUGUGUUUUGGCAUGGAGAGAACUAAGUAAUAUCUAGAUUGUUGGAGAUAGGAUGACCAGGAAUAUGAAUGGAUGUGCUGGAAACUGUACUAAGACCCUGAUGUAUUUGGAUAGAUUUACAUACCAUCCUGAUUUUGCUAUGCAAAACUUGAAAAAAAAUCCUCAACUCAUACUGUAGCUGACAUUGUACUUAUUAAUAUCUCAAAUGAACAUAUUUUUAGACAUACGAUAUCUAAACUAUGGAGUCCAUGUACAUUUCCACAAUGGAUAAUAGGUUAUAAUAUAUGUGUGGAAUCUUUUCCUAUGGUAUGCACAUGUUAACACAUUAGUUUAAAUGAUUAUGUAUAUCUUGUGACUAUGGAAGAAAAUGUGUUGAAAAAAGAAUGUGUGUCUAUAGGAGUUGUUGCCCUUGAAUGUAAUUCAUUAUUUACAAGAGGUUGAAAAAUAAUGCAGCACACAAUAGUACUAAAUGCAUUAUGUUAAAAUACAUUUAUGAAUGGUAUAAGUGAUACUGUAAAUUACAGAUUAAUACACUUUGUGAAAUCAUAUUAUUGUUAUGUUUAAUAAAUUUCAAGGCUG
Long non-coding RNA from Ostrea edulis (European flat oyster), 1661 nucleotides. RefSeq lists it as uncharacterized. The transcript is spliced from 4 exons. The record is from RefSeq and is a predicted model, not a curated record. NCBI's taxonomy places the organism in Eukaryota, Metazoa, Mollusca, Bivalvia, Ostreida, Ostreidae.